This 440-nucleotide ribosomal RNA is filed under the name uncultured bacterium. RNAcentral describes it as "partial 16S ribosomal RNA". It matches the Rfam family "Bacterial small subunit ribosomal RNA", at positions 338 to 795 of the family's 1533-position model. The record is from RNAcentral.
CCUACGGGAGGCAGCAGUGGGGAAUAUUGCACAAUGGGGGAGACCCUGAUGCAGCGACGCCGCGUGAGGGAAGAAGUAUUUCGGUAUGUAAACUUCUAUCAGCCGGGAAGAAAAUGACGGUACCUGACUAAGAAUCCCCGGGUAACUACGUGCCAGCAGCCGCGGUAAUACGUAGGGGGCAAGCGUUAUCCGGAUUUCCUGGGUGUAAAGGGAGCGUAGACGGAAAGGCAAGUCAGAAGUGAAAACCCAAGGCUCAACCAUGGGACUGCUUUUGAAACUGUCAAACUAGAGUACGGGAGAGGUAAGAGGAAUGCCUAGUGUAGCGGUGAAAUGCGUAGAUAUUAGGAGGAACACCAGUGGCGAAGGCGUCUUACUGGACCGAAACUGACGUUGAGGCUCGAAAGCGUGGGGAGCAAACAGGAUUAGAUACCCCUGUAGUC